This 253-nucleotide ribosomal RNA is filed under the name uncultured bacterium. RNAcentral's name for it is "partial 16S ribosomal RNA". It matches the Rfam family "Bacterial small subunit ribosomal RNA", at positions 524 to 776 of the family's 1533-position model. The record is from RNAcentral.
UACGGAGGGUGCAAGCGUUAUCCGGAUUUACUGGGUUUAAAGGGUGCGUAGGCGGGCUUUUAAGUCAGUGGUGAAAGCUUCGAGCUUAACUCGAAAAUUGCCAUUGACACUAUUAGUCUUGAAUUCAGUUGAGGUCGGCGGAAUGUGUCGUGUAGAGGUGAAAUUCUUAGAUAUGACACAGAACACCAAUUGCGAAGGCAGCUGGCUAAUCUGACAUUGACGCUGAGGCACGAAAGCGUGGGGAUCAAACAGG